This 531-nucleotide ribosomal RNA is filed under the name Triticum aestivum (bread wheat). RNAcentral describes it as "partial small subunit ribosomal RNA". Lineage: Eukaryota; Viridiplantae; Streptophyta; Magnoliopsida; Poales; Poaceae. The record is from RNAcentral.
GCUGACUUCCGCUUUCGGAUUCGUGUCCAGCGGGAUAAGCGUGCCAAGGUCGCUAGAACGAAGUGGUGGAAGCUCAAGGGGGAGGUAGCUCAGGUGUUCAAGGAGAGGGUAUUUAAGGAGGGCCCUUGGGAGGAAGGAGGGGAUGCGGACAAUGUGUGGAUGAAGAUGGCGACUUGCAUUCGUAAGGUGGCCUCGGAGGAGUUUGGAGUGUCCAGGGGAGGGAGAAGCGAAGAUAAGGAUACCUGGUGGUGGAAUGAUGAUGUCCAGAAGGCGCUUAAAGAGAAGAAAGAUUGCUUCAGACGCCUAUACCUGGAUAGGAGUGCAGACAACAUAGAGAAGUACAAGAUGGCGAAGAAGGCCGCAAAGCGAGUUGUUGGUGAAGCAAGGGGUCGGGCAUAUGAGGACCUCUACCAACGGUUAGGCACGAAGGAAGGUGAAAGGGACAUCUAUAAGAUGGCUAAGAUUCGGGAGAGGAAGACGAGGGAUAUUGGCCAAGUCAAAUGCAUCAAGGAUGGAGCAGGCCAACUCUUG